This 450-nucleotide ribosomal RNA is filed under the name uncultured bacterium. Its description in RNAcentral is "bacterial SSU rRNA". It matches the Rfam family "Bacterial small subunit ribosomal RNA", at positions 8 to 507 of the family's 1533-position model. The record is from RNAcentral.
AGAGUUUGAUCAUGGCUCAGAUUGAACGCUGGCGGUAUGCCUAACACAUGCAAGUCGAACGCCCCGCAAGGGGAGUGGCAGACGGGUGAGUAACGCGUGGGAAUCUACCGUACCCUACGGAAUAGCUCCGGGAAACUGGAAUUAAUACCGUAUACGCCCUACGGGGGAAAGAUUUAUCGGGGUAUGAUGAGCCCGCGUUGGAUUAGCUAGUUGGUGGGUAAAGGCCUACCAAGGCGACGAUCCAUAGCUGGUCUGAGAGGAUGAUCAGCCACAUUGGGACUGAGACACGGCCCAAACUCCUACGGGAGGCAGCAGUGGGGAAUAUUGGACAAUGGGCGCAAGCCUGAUCCAGCCAUGCCGCGUGAGUGAUGAAGGUCUUAGGAUUGUAAAGCUCUUUCACCGAUGAAGAUAAUGACGGUAGUCGGAGAAGAAGCCCCGGCUAACUUCGUG